CGGUGGCAGAGAAUCGGCUCAGUAGGCACGUAGCCUUUCUUACGAACGGGUCGAUGAUGAAUUUUUCGUUCAAAAAAUAUCCCUGCGAAAAGUUCUCUCUCGUUUCGGACGAGCGACGAGAUGAGCGUAUACUAUGUUAUCACGCGAGUUCGUUAAAUGUCCCGCAACAGUGACGUUGAUGAGUGAAAUACGUAGACAACUCCGAUCAAGCGAAGAGGACGUCAUCAUCUCGGAUAGACGGUUAUCUGCAAUCAUACAAGAGCAAUUAUUGAUAAUUUUUGGACGAUGACAUUAUUGAUACUCGUAUCGUUGACUCAACCCGCGAUUCGCGAUAUCGAACUUGAUAUCGAUAUCUACGACAGAACGUACAGUAUCGUCAGGAACUUUGGGUGAUUAUUCCAGAUUUUCGCCAACCAAAACACCCUUUUCACGAAAACCGACGCGAACUGGUACACCGAAGUUCCCAGCUUGUAGAAUUUCCGGUUAUCGAUGUGAAACGAGGACCAUAAAAAUUUAGUGACGUCAAUCGCGACUACCAGGAAUUAUUUUUGCGAGUUAGUGUUCUUCUGUGUAUAUUACACUCGGGCAGCGGAAACUUAACCGAUUCGUAAAGCGGUCAGCCAGUUUGGAUUUCCUCGGCGCGAGUAUCGGUUGAUCGCUCAAUAUCCUCUUGAGCCGUACAAGCUGCGUCCUCUUUUGUUUAUUUAGAUUUACCGGUUGUUCAAAGUUUUUUGCUAGAUCUUUACUCGUUGCGUUGAAGUGGAUUUUUCGAGAUAACAUGUGCGGAAAUUUAAAAGAAAAAGUUCAUCGCGCGAACGGAUCGCAUAAAUUAAGUUCAAAGUUCACCAGUGCGAUAUAAUUUUGGAAACGAAGAAUCAGUGCAUCGGAUGUUUAGUGGUGCAGUUGAAUCGCAAUGGAGUACACGACCGCAGUAGUACUCGAUGGGAUUAGGUCAUCGCUAUUUCAGGACACGGCCCCAGCUCGAAUGAAUCGAAUUUAGAAAGGAAGAAAAAACGUCGCCGUGUCACGAAGUUUCGCUCUUAAAAAAGCCUACUGGAUUCGCACUUGUGGUCCGAUACACGCUCACUUUUUCGGUCGCACGUAGGGAUACCCACUGGUGCACUCUCAAAAAGAUCUAAUACCGCGAACUUCGCGUAGGAUAAAAUAGUCGGGGAAUAACGUGUGACGGGUGUGACGCGGCACCCCCCGUUUAAUAACCGGCAGAAGGGACUCUCUGUCACCCUUUGUUUUCGGCCAUCACGGGGUUACGAUGAACUGCCCCAUUGUCGGAGAAGAGGGUACGCAUACCUAUAUAAACGCGGGGAUGAGGACGCGACGUAGGAUGCGGGAGGAUUGGCCGGCGAUCGAUCGAAGAGAGAUUGAUUAUACGACUCGUGAAAUCGGAGUCUCCUUCGCGAGCCGGAAAGCUCGUUGCCUUUUAUCGAUUGGAAAUUCUUUAGCGGCUAUAAAUUGAAAUUAGCGAAUUCCGGAAACAACGGAAUUCUUGGCACUCGACCGAACCUAUUACGGCAUCACUGGGCAGAUAUAAUUGAAGAGGAAUUCCUGCAGCUGUAUCUUCCGAAGUGGUCUACUUCUUCGAGUGGGUGGCGAUCGACGUUCAUCACCUCGACCUUUGUAAAAGUAUUCCACCCGAGACGUUGCAUAUCCCCCCCCCCCCCCGAUGACGCAUACGGGAACGAUAAAAAUAUCCGACAUUCGGCGAUGCCGGUAUCUAUUCCAAGUUGAAAUGUAUACGAAAACUAUCAUCGAGUUAUAAAUCGUUUCUAUUCUUACUUGUACUUAUUUUUCAACAAAAAAAAAAAAUAUCCCGAACCUAGUCCCCGACGCAAUCGUAUCAUGUGCGUGAUCGUAGGUAAGUAUACAGACACGAUAUGUGGGUAACCGCAUCGUGUAUUCCACUCGAACCCACUAACAUUUUCGCUAAAAGAUCCAUGCGCACAAAACGCUGAUUCACGGCACUUGAAUCGUCCGCGGAGGACUUGGCUUGGGAAAAACGAGGCGGUGCGGCAACGAAACAGGUAGGCAUUGUACGGAGCUCUGGCUC
This is a long non-coding RNA of Athalia rosae (coleseed sawfly), 2065 nucleotides long. RefSeq lists it as uncharacterized. The record is from RefSeq and is a predicted model, not a curated record. NCBI's taxonomy places the organism in Eukaryota, Metazoa, Arthropoda, Insecta, Hymenoptera, Athaliidae. The transcript is spliced from 6 exons.